CUAAUACAUGCAAGUCGAACGCUUUGUGGUUCAACUGAUUUGAAGAGCUUGCUCAGAUAUGACGAUGGACAUUGCAAAGAGUGGCGAACGGGUGAGUAACACGUGGGAAACCUACCUCUUAGCAGGGGAUAACAUUUGGAAACAGAUGCUAAUACCGUAUAACAAUGACAACCGCAUGGUUGUUAUUUAAAAGAUGGUUCUGCUAUCACUAAGAGAUGGUCCCGCGGUGCAUUAGCUAGUUGGUAAGGUAAUGGCUUACCAAGGCGAUGAUGCAUAGCCGAGUUGAGAGACUGAUCGGCCACAAUGGGACUGAGACACGGCCCAUACUCCUACGGGAGGCAGCAGUAGGGAAUCUUCCACAAUGGGCGAAAGCCUGAUGGAGCAACGCCGCGUGUGUGAUGAAGGGUUUCGGCUCGUAAAACACUGUUGUAAGAGAAGAAUGACAUUGAGAGUAACUGUUCAAUGUGUGACGGUAUCUUACCAGAAAGGAACGGCUAAAUACGUGCCAGCAGCCGCGGUAAUACGUAUGUUCCAAGCGUUAUCCGGAUUUAUUGGGCGUAAAGCGAGCGCAGACGGUUAUUUAAGUCUGAAGUGAAAGCCCUCAGCUCAACUGAGGAAUUGCUUUGGAAACUGGAUGACUUGAGUGCAGUAGUCAGAAAGUGGAACUCCAUGUGUAGCGGUGAAAUGCGUAGAUAUAUGGAAGAACACCAGUGGCGAAGGCGGCUUUCUGGACUGUAACUGACGUUGAGGCUCGAAAGUGUGGGUAGCAAACAGGAUUAGAUACCCUGGUAGUCCACACCGUAAACGAUGAGUGCUAGGUGUUUGAGGGUUUCCGCCCUUAAGUGCCGCAGCUAACGCAUUAAGCACUCCGC
This 872-nucleotide ribosomal RNA is filed under the name Weissella confusa. Its description in RNAcentral is "bacterial SSU rRNA". It matches the Rfam family "Bacterial small subunit ribosomal RNA", at positions 48 to 872 of the family's 1533-position model. Lineage: Bacteria; Bacillati; Bacillota; Bacilli; Lactobacillales; Lactobacillaceae. The record is from RNAcentral.